RNAcentral lists this ribosomal RNA (461 nucleotides) under uncultured bacterium. Its description in RNAcentral is "bacterial SSU rRNA". It matches the Rfam family "Bacterial small subunit ribosomal RNA", at positions 918 to 1379 of the family's 1533-position model. The record is from RNAcentral.
GGCCCGCACAAGCGGAGGAACAUGUGGUUUAAUUCGAUGAUACGCGAGGAACCUUACCCGGGCUUGAAAUGUACCUGGCAGCCGGCAGAGACGCCGGCCUCCUUCGGGCAGGUAUGUAGGUGCUGCAUGGUUGUCGUCAGCUCGUGCCGUGAGGUGUCGGCUCAAGUGCCAUGACGAGCGCAACCCCUUCCGCCGGUUACCAUCGGGUAACGCCGGGGACUCCGGCGGCACUGCCAUCGCAAGAUGCGAGGAAGGCGGGGAUGACGUCAAAUCAGCACGGCCCUUACGUCCGGGGCCACACACGUGUUACAAUGGGGGGCACAGAGAGCAGGCCGCCGGCGACGUCGGCCGAAUCAGGAAAUCCCCUCCCAGUUCGGACUGGAGUCUGCAACCCGACUCCACGAAGCCGGAUUCGCUAGUAAUCGCGCAUCAGCCAUGGCGCGGUGAAUACGUUCCCGGGC